CAAAUAUUUGUAGGAUCAAUAAUAUUUGACGUUUAGAAAACAAAAACAAAAACAAAAAAUUUCUAAAAUUUAUCUCUUCACUGUUCUUCUAUAGUUUGACUGUUAGCCCAAACUCAACAUUUCAUUCCUCUCUUAUGUCCCCAGCGUGCAACUCAUCACAAUGCAGUUUUUAUCUUUUGUACAGUUCCCUCACAUCUUCACCCAAUAGCGGGCUUUCCAAGAAGGGAUCACCGCACUCUUUCAGGUCAACAGUCUCCACCUCAAAAUCCUGAUAACCACAGUACUCAUUCCAUUCAAACCACAUUUUUGCAAUAGCUUCCUUCCUGAAACAAGCACUAUGAUCUUCCUCUUCAGGUGAAUCGGCAGCAACCAAUCUAUAAGCAUAGACUUUCUUCUUUUG
Molecule: unclassified non-coding RNA, 400 nt
Filed under: Hevea brasiliensis (rubber tree)
Lineage: Eukaryota; Viridiplantae; Streptophyta; Magnoliopsida; Malpighiales; Euphorbiaceae
Source: RNAcentral